GACGAACGCUGGCGGCGUGCCUAAUACAUGCAAGUCGAACGCACAGUUUAUACCGUAGCUUGCUACACCAUAGACUGUGAGUUGCGAACGGGUGAGUAACGCGUAGGUAACCUGCCUGGUAGCGGGGGAUAACUAUUGGAAACGAUAGCUAAUACCGCAUAAUAUUGAUUAUUGCAUGAUAAUUGAUUGAAAGAUGCUAUUGCAUCACUACCAGAUGGACCUGCGUUGUAUUAGCUAGUAGGUGAGGUAACGGCUCACCUAGGCGACGAUACAUAGCCGACCUGAGAGGGUGAUCGGCCACACUGGGACUGAGACACGGCCCAGACUCCUACGGGAGGCAGCAGUAGGGAAUCUUCGGCAAUGGACGAAAGUCUGACCGAGCAACGCCGCGUGAGUGAAGAAGGGUUUCGGAUCGUAAAGCUCUGUUGUAAGAGAAGAACGGGUGUGAGAGUGGAAAGUUCACACUGUGACGGUAUCUUACCAGAAAGGGACGGCUAACUACGUG
Molecule: ribosomal RNA, 505 nt
Filed under: uncultured bacterium
Lineage: Bacteria
Description: partial 16S ribosomal RNA
Rfam family: Bacterial small subunit ribosomal RNA
Source: RNAcentral